UCUCUUUCCUUUUGGGUACGGAGGGAGGGAGAGGGAGAUGCUGGCGAUGCUGUUCCACUCUUGGGCGGGCCGUUCUUUCCAACUCUGCAUCGAAAGAUUCCACCUUUCCAUGAAAAAUCACUUCCUUCCAUGAAAUAAAAGAGAUCCGUUAAAGCUCGUCUUGAACUUCAAUGGAAGCCAAAAGCUUUCUCCUCAGCUUCUCCUCAAACCCAACAAAAACACCCUCUGUGGGCUCCCAUUCUCGACCUUCUCUCUCAAUCCCAUCUCAGAAAUGGAGUUCCUGCAAAACCCAUUUCGAUUUGAAGCUUGUUUCCCAAAGAGGAGUGCCCAGGAGAGGAUUUCUGUGCAUAAACAGGGCUGAAAACGGUGGUUUUGCUGAUGAAGGAGGAGGUUCUGGAGAUGGGCCUCGGAGGAAGAAUCUGGCAGUGUUUGUGUCCGGUGGCGGAUCGAACUUCCGUUCGAUUCAUGAGGCAGCUGUUCGGCGAGCAAUUCACGGCCACAUUGCUGUUUUGGUCACAGAUAAGCCUGGUUGUGGAGGUGCUGCGUAUGCAAGAGAUAAUGGUAUCCCAGUUAUUAUGUUCCCUAAGAGUUCAUCCUCACCUGAUGGACUGUCAGCAGCUGACCUUGUAACUGCUCUGCGGAGAUUAGAUAUUGAUUUUCUUCUACUUGCUGGUUACUUGAAACUCAUACCAGUUGAGUUAGUUCGGGCAUAUCCAAGAUCCGUAGUGAACAUCCAUCCUUCUCUUCUUCCAGCUUUUGGGGGAAAGGGGUACUACGGUUUAAAAGUGCAUAAAGCUGUCAUUGCAUCUGGGGCUAGAUAUUCUGGUCCUACAAUCCACUUUGUAGAUGAACAUUAUGAUACUGGCCGUAUCCUUGCUCAAAAGGUUGUACCUGUGUUGCCGAAUGACACUGCAGAGGAGUUAGCUACUAGGGUCCUUCAUGAGGAGCAUCAGCUGUAUGUCCAUGUGACAGCGGCAUUAUGCGAAGAGCGGGUAAUCUGGAGGGAAGACGGAGUGCCUCUCAUCCGAAGCAAAGAAAAUCCAAACGACUACAGCUAACAGAGUCGCUGCUCACAGCAAAUCCAAAUCACCCUUUAGAAGACUGUGUAUUACCAUUUUUUAAAUGCCGGCAACUCAUCCACCAUGCACCUGGCUGACAUGCAAGUCAAUCCUGCCCGUCCAAAGUCAUGGUCCCCAUUGUGGAUGGACAACAUUCCCAAACUCACACUGAUUCGACAAUCCUAACCAUUCAGUUGGUUGGCUAUCAAAUGGGCAGUUAAAUUGUGACCCGCAAUCCAUAUUCAAUGGCCACUAACUGCUGGUUAUCAUCCAAUCAGUGUGAGUUUUGGGCCAUGCUUCAUCUUCAACAGGGCCAACAGUGUGGGUGGUCUGGAUUGAUGUACAUGUAAUGCUACUUGUGCUGUGGAUGAAUGAUCACCAUUUCAAAAAAUGGUGGAAAGAAUGGUUACUGUCACUUGACUGUCGCAUUCUGUUGUGAUAACAAGCAACUGAGAAAAAUAUUGGAUGAUCCGCUGUAGUGAAUUGGCCGUUGGGUGCAUCCAUUUGUGGGCCAUUGCACUUCGUAGGACGUGGGUCAGACUCCGGGAAAUUUUUGUAUGGAUUCCGGGAAAUUUUUGUAUGGGUGUGUUAUAGGAUAUAUAUGUAUAUCUGUUAAGAUCUCCAACAGAUCUCUACAGAUGUCCCACCCCAUUUUAUAUACUUUGGUCAUUAUCAAUGAAAUAUAAAUAAUACUAUUUAUACAAUAUAAUAUCUUGUGUUAAAAUGGUAUCAAAUGCA
Molecule: RNA transcript, 1796 nt
Organism: Magnolia sinica
Lineage: Eukaryota; Viridiplantae; Streptophyta; Magnoliopsida; Magnoliales; Magnoliaceae
Gene name: phosphoribosylglycinamide formyltransferase, chloroplastic
Exons: 6
Source: RefSeq, a predicted model, not a curated record